AUUUAAUAACUGAAUUAUGAUAACACUUGUCCAAAUUGGAUGAGAAUCAAAGUUUUUUGGAAGAGAAACUCAACUCUAUUUUUCUCCUACUUUUUCUACCUUCUCUCAUAUUUUUUUUUUUAAUUAUUUUUCUUUUGUUGGAUAUCUCGUUGAGAUAUUUUCGAUAGAGAUGCUCAAAUUGGUAACUAACAUGAAACUUUUACAAUCAUUAGACCAUCAUAAAGCAACAAAGUAAAUUCGUUUCCUUGGUUGCUGAUUUUCCUAGGUGUUUAAUAUGAUAAUGAAAAAAAAUAUAUAUAUA
This 301-nucleotide small RNA is filed under the name Arabidopsis thaliana (thale cress). Its description in RNAcentral is "ATSL012160". Lineage: Eukaryota; Viridiplantae; Streptophyta; Magnoliopsida; Brassicales; Brassicaceae. The record is from RNAcentral.